ACGCUCGACACCUACUGGAGGCAGCAGUGGGGAAUAUUGCACAAUGGGCGAAAGCCUGAUGCAGCAACGCCGCGUGAAGGAGGAAGGCCUUGGUCGUAAACUUCUGUCCUUGAGGAAGAAGAACUGACGGUACUCAAGGAGGAAGCCCCGGCUAACUACGUGCCAGCAGCCCGGUAAGUACUGAGCGGGCGUCGGCGAAGGACG
This 204-nucleotide ribosomal RNA is filed under the name uncultured bacterium. Its description in RNAcentral is "partial 16S ribosomal RNA". It matches the Rfam family "Bacterial small subunit ribosomal RNA", at positions 328 to 536 of the family's 1533-position model. The record is from RNAcentral.